RNAcentral lists this ribosomal RNA (60 nucleotides) under Bradyrhizobium sp. S2.96. RNAcentral describes it as "partial 23S ribosomal RNA". The record is from RNAcentral. Lineage: Bacteria; Pseudomonadati; Pseudomonadota; Alphaproteobacteria; Hyphomicrobiales; Nitrobacteraceae.
AAUCAAGUGCCUUAAGGGUGUUCGGUGGAUGCCUUGGGGCUGAGAGGCGAUGAAGGACGU